AACGAACGCUGGCGGCGUGGAUUAGGCAUGCAAGUCGAACGCGAAAGAGGGAGCAAUCCCUCGAGUAGAGUGGCGAACGGGUGAGUAACGCGUGAAGAACCUGCCUUCGACAGGGGGAUAACACUCCCAACGGGGUGCUAAUACCGCAUGAGACCACGGGGUCGCAUGGCCCUGAGGUCAAAGGUGGCCUCUAUUUAUAAGCUACCGGUCGAAGAUGGCUUCGCGUCCCAUUAGCUAGUUGGCGGUGUAAGAGACCACCAAGGCGACGAUGGGUAGCUGGUCUGAGAGGAUGGUCAGCCACACUGGGACUGAGAUACGGCCCAGACUCCUACGGGAGGCAGCAGUCGAGAGGCUUCGGCAAUGGGGGAAACCCUGACCGAGCGACGCCGCGUGGAGGAUGAAGGCCCUUGGGUUGUAAACUCCUUUUGUUGGGGAAGAAAUGCGAUCAGGUGAACAAUCUGGUCGUUUGACGGUACCCGACGAAUAAGCUCCGGCUAACUCCGUGCCAGCA
This 511-nucleotide ribosomal RNA is filed under the name uncultured bacterium. RNAcentral's name for it is "bacterial SSU rRNA". It matches the Rfam family "Bacterial small subunit ribosomal RNA", at positions 29 to 513 of the family's 1533-position model. The record is from RNAcentral.